UUAGGUUGAUGCAAAAGUAAUUGUGGUUUUUGCCAUUAAAAGUAAUUGGCAAAAACCGCAAUAACUUUUGCACCAACCUAA
This 81-nucleotide microRNA precursor is filed under the name Nomascus leucogenys (northern white-cheeked gibbon). Its description in RNAcentral is "miRNA (ENSNLEG00000022878.2)". The record is from RNAcentral. Lineage: Eukaryota; Metazoa; Chordata; Mammalia; Primates; Hylobatidae.